UGCGCCUUGCCACGCCCGCUCAGAAACUACAAAGGAAUUGACGGGGGCCCGCACAAGCGGAGGAGCAUGUGGUUUAAUUCGAUGAUACGCGAGGAACCUUACCUGGGCUUAAAUGCUUAAUGACGUACUGGGAAACUGGUAUUUCUUCGGACAUUUUGCAAGGUGCUGCAUGGUUGUCGUCAGCUCGUGCCGUGAGGUGUCGGGUUAAGUCCCAUAACGAGCGCAACCCCUAUUGUUAGUUGCCAUCAGGUCAUGCUGGGGACUCUAACAAAACUGCCCGCGUAAGCGUGGAGGAAGGUGGGGAUGACGUCAAAUCAGCACGGCCCUUACGUCCAGGGCUACACACGUGCUACAAUGGCCGGUACAGAGGGCAGCCACUUGGUGACAAGGAGCAAAUCUCAAAAGCCGGUCUCAGUUCGGAUCGGAGUCUGCAACUCGACUCCGUGAAGUUGGAUUCGCUAGUAAUCGUAGAUCAGCAAUGCUACGGUGAAUACGUUCCCGGGCCUU
Molecule: ribosomal RNA, 507 nt
Filed under: uncultured Bacteroidota bacterium
Lineage: Bacteria; Pseudomonadati; Bacteroidota
Description: bacterial SSU rRNA
Rfam family: Bacterial small subunit ribosomal RNA
Source: RNAcentral